UGGUCAAGUUAUUAAGGGUGCAGGGCGGAUGCCUUGGCACUAGGAGCCGAUGAAGGACGUGAUAAGCUGCGAUAAGCUUCGGGGAGUUGCACGUAAACUUUGAUCCGAAGAUUUCCGAAUGAGGAAACUCACUUAGAGUAAUGUCUAAGUAUCAUUAAGUGAAUACAUAGCUUAAUGAGGGGAACUCAGGGAACUGAAACAUCU
Molecule: ribosomal RNA, 204 nt
Filed under: Clostridioides difficile
Lineage: Bacteria; Bacillati; Bacillota; Clostridia; Peptostreptococcales; Peptostreptococcaceae
Description: partial 23S ribosomal RNA
Rfam family: Bacterial large subunit ribosomal RNA
Source: RNAcentral